GACAAGUUUUAAGCAAUUUUCUUCUCUUUCAGUUCACAACUUCGUAUUCAAAAAGGCUUUUCGCUCUUUUAUUUCUCAGGCUCUGCUCUUUCAGAUUCAAAGUAUCCGUUUUCCUCUCAUUUCCAUCUGGUGAACUCGCCGCGAUGCUGAAAGCCAAUUCUCCUUCCAAAGCGUUUUUCGCCGUCCGUUUCCUUCUCUUUGGUUUCGAUCCCAUCAACGAGCGUGAGGUUCGAGCCAAGCUUCUUAAUGGCGGCGGAAUUGAUGCUGGUCAGUACGGUCAAAAUUGUACUCACGUGAUUGUAGAUAACAUUCUUUUCGAUGAUCCUCUUUGUGUUACUGCAAGGAAAGAUGGGAAGACACUGGUUACGGGUUUAUGGGUUGACCAUGGUUAUGAAAUUGGAAUGGCUGUAGAUGCCACUUCUAUUAUGUAUAGGCCACUUAGAGAUUUGAAUGGCAUAGCGGGUGCUAAAAAUUUAAUUAUAUGCUUAACUGGAUACCAGCGACAAGAUCGAGAUGACAUUAUGACCAUGGUUGGCCUGAUGGGAGCUCAAUUUUCUAAGCCAUUGGUAGCAAACAAAGUUACUCAUCUCAUAUGCUAUAAAUUUGAAGGUGAAAAGUAUGAACUUGCCAAGAAAUUGAAGAAAAUAAAGCUUGUUAACCAUCGGUGGUUAGAAGACUGCUUAAGGGACUGGGAGCUUCUUCCAGAAGAUAAUUAUAGCAAGAGUGGCUAUGAGUUGGAGGUGAUGGAAGCUGAAGCAAAGGAUUCUGAGGAGGAAGCUGGGGUCCCCGCUUUGAAGCAAUCAAGUCAUGAAAUGGCAAAUAACAGUCCUCACUUGAGAAUGGGAACUCCUAAGCCUUGUCAACUACCCAAAUCAACUGGGGAACUGCCAAAAAUGGCACAAAAUAUAAGUAAGCCUGAAGGUCUGCCAAGUGUUGUGAAUGGGAAGGACAUGUUAGUAACUCCUAGCAGAAAGAACAGAUCAGCAUCAGGCUUUAUUAGCAACUUUGUUUCUGAGGUGUCGGCCUGUCCUGUCUCUAGUACCUCUAAUGAUGCUUCUUCUGUAGGUUUACCUGAUCCACAAGAGAGAACUCCAAAUUCUACAGAAGGGGGUAAUGACUUGGAAAAUAUUUCCAGAAGUGCUGAAAGGCCUUAUUCUGAUGAAAAGUUUAGUGCUAUAAGUUACACAAGGAAAACCCCACGGAAAUCCCCAACAUCAACUUUUUCAGGAGAGUUGGGACAUAUUAGAGGCUCUCCUAAAUUUCAAUUAGGUGAAUCCAUUAAUAAGACUUCUGUUGAAGUUGAAUAUGCUAAGGGCUUAACUGGAUCUGAUCAUGCUGAGCAUCUUCAAAAAGGAAUUGAGCCAUUUUGUAAAGAAGCUUCAAGCAGUAAAAAGCAAAAGAUAGAUGUUUCAUGUUUUAACCCUAAAUCUCAGAAUAUGAGUCAUGAUCCACCAAGAAGUGUGACAGGCAGUCCAUCAGUUAGUUGCAACCAGGGAUUGGAACAAGCAUCUUUGGUAGAUGGUUUGUCUAAGAUUAAUAACCAGUAUCAUGAUGUGACAGGAAGUCCAUCAGUUAGUCUUGAUGCUGCACAAAAGUCCCAUGCUGAUGUUUCAACAGGCAAAUCAUCAAAAUUUAAAGCGAAGCCAUUCACACAAGAUCUGCUGUUCCUUGAAAAUGCAGUCUCAGAGAAUGAUCAAAAUGAGAAUUUGGAUGAAAAGAUGCUGCAAACAUCCUUAAAGACAUUGAGAAAGUCCAGUUUGGUUAGCAAGCCUGAAGGUGGAGAUUUUGGAGUUAAAAAAUCUGAAAAUGUGGUUGCAGAUGCAGAGGCUGCGUGUCAUCUGCAGCAAGAUAAACAGGUUCCAUCUCCCCCUAACAGAAACUCAGAGACAGAGAAAUCUCAGGUGAUUGCUAAUUUGGAAAAGCUUCAGGAAGGUAAUGGCAACUUAAUUACCAAACCAGGUAGGAUAAAGAUGAUUGCCAAGAAGACACUGGGUUCUAGAUCAAAACUGAAAAGUAAUGCUAACCAAAAAGGGUCUAUUUAUUUAAAAAAAGUUGCUGCUCAAAAUGAACCUGUAGUUGGUCUGCCUAUAGAAACAGCAGAUCAUGAGAACUCCUCCAGUUUCAACGACCAUGCAACAUUCCCUGAAACUGUCAAUGUUAUUGCAGCAAAGGAGGCAGAGACACAAAUUGGCACAAAAUCCAGAGAUAAUGUUGAGAAUGAGACUACUUUUAUGGAUGAUGAAACAGAAGCUCCAGAGGAUAACGACACAAGUGAGGGUAUACUUGAUGAAGUGAAGGCUGGGGUGGUUGAUUUGUCACCUAAAGCAGAUGAUAAGAUGGAGGUUAAACCAGAUGGUGCUCGGCAUUCAACAAACAAUGCUGCUGCUGACAGGGAUGAUGGUGCAAAGGAAGAGAAGAAUGCAGUUCAACUCCAGCAGAAAGAUAAAACAAUCUGUAAAGCAAAUUGUAUGAAAGGGAAACUAAGGCAAGGCAAAAAACAGCCACCAGGCAAGUCCAAGAUAAAGACUGUCCCUCCUGUCUCUGGACAUGCAAAAUCUAAGAAAGUUUCAGUUAGAGAAGAGACUUGCAAUGGCAAGGACAUUGUUGAGACAGCUAUUGAGGAGGAGAAAGGUAAGCCAUGUUCUGCAGGUCAAACUAAGAGCAGAAAUGUAUCUAAGAGAAAAUCUGACAACUCCAUGGAAGCAGAGAAGGAGAAUAAGCCAAUUGUUGAUGGAGAUCAAAGAAUAAGUCAGUUUAAAGGUCAUGUCAGAAAAACAACCCUUAAGUCUGAUAAUGUGUCAAUGAAGAUUAAGCAGAAGUCUGGGAAAAGCAAUCUUAAUUGUAUUUUGGUGAGAGAAGUUUCAAAGCAAGUGAAAACUGAACCUAUAUGGUUUAUUUUGAGUGGGCAUAAGCUACAGAGAAAGGAGUUUCAGCAAGUCAUUAGGCGUUUGAAAGGAAAAUUCUUCAGGGAUUCUCAUCAGUGGUCAUACCAGGCAACGCACUUCAUAGCUCCAGACCCAAUUCGUAGGACAGAAAAGUUUUUUGCUGCUGCAGCCUCUGGAAGGUGGAUUCUAAAGACCGAUUAUCUUGCUUCUUGUAGUCAAGCAGGAAGGUUUGUGGAUGAGGAGCCAUAUGAAUGGCAUAAGCACGGCCUUAGUGAAGAUGGUGCAAUUAAUUUAGAGGCUCCAAGGAAGUGGCGGCUCUUACGGGAGAAAACUGGUCAUGGUGCCUUCAAUGGCAUGCGUGUUAUUAUUUAUGGAGAAUGCAUUGCACCAUCUUUGGAUACUCUGAAGCGAGUUGUGAAGGCAGGUGAUGGGACUAUAUUAGCAACUUCUCCUCCUUACACCCGCUUCCUCACAUCUGGGGUUGACUAUGCCAUUAUCAGUCCUGGUAUGCCACGUGUUGAUUUGUGGGUUCAAGAGUUCCUACGACAUGAGAUACCCUGCAUUGUGGCUGAUUACUUGGUGGAGUAUGUCUGCAAGCCUGGUUAUUCUCUGGAGAGACAUGUUCUAUACAAUACUCAUGCUUGGGCAGAGAAGUCAUUUGCUAACCUAUUGAGCAAGGCAGAAGAGAUUGUUGAAGACUUGACACCAUCAGAUGAUUAUAGUGGCGAUGACAUAGCCUGUCAAGUUUGUGGAUCUCGCAAUAGAGGGGAGGUUAUGCUGAUAUGCGGUGAUGAAAGUGGUUCUGUUGGUUGUGGGAUAGGUAUGCACAUAGACUGUUGUGAUCCUCCUCUUGAAAAUAUUCCAGAGGAGGAUUGGUUUUGUCCUGAUUGUAGUAGCAGUAACAGCAACAGUUCCCCUAAGAGGAGAAAAGGACUUAACUGAAGACGAAGUUAUUUUUUAUUCAUCUUCUCAUUUUGUAGUACACUGUUGUCCGAUUCUCGCAUUUGGCUGUGGCUAAACAUGUAGAAUUUGCUAUGCGUGGUCUUAGUUGAAUUUGAGAAUUUUGUAAGACAGACUAGAAAAUUACGAUUUUUCUAGAAUCUGUUAAGCUUCUCUUAGGGAAUAAUAUAUGGAUUUUCUUAAAUUUAUUAAUCAGAAAAACG
This 4048-nucleotide unclassified non-coding RNA is filed under the name Hevea brasiliensis (rubber tree). The record is from RNAcentral. Lineage: Eukaryota; Viridiplantae; Streptophyta; Magnoliopsida; Malpighiales; Euphorbiaceae.